GUGCACAUUUCCUUACUUUCUCUUUACAUCAAGACAAAAGAUAUUUCUGAAGUGUUAAAUAAACCUUUGGGGGGGCAGUAAAUUAGCAGCAUGGCUAACUUAGCCAUUGCUGCCAGUCACCUUCAGAUAAGA
This 132-nucleotide small nucleolar RNA is filed under the name Capra hircus (goat). The record is from RNAcentral. Lineage: Eukaryota; Metazoa; Chordata; Mammalia; Artiodactyla; Bovidae.